GCAUCUGUAGCCUAGUUGGUAAAGGAAGCACUCUUGUAUGUGACUCAGCAUUGCUGAGGUUGUGAGUUCAAAUCUCACCAGGCACA
Transfer RNA from Puccinia graminis f. sp. tritici, 86 nucleotides. It matches the Rfam family "tRNA". Rfam says of the family: Transfer RNA (tRNA) molecules are approximately 80 nucleotides in length. Their secondary structure includes four short double-helical elements and three loops (D, anti-codon, and T loops). NCBI's taxonomy places the organism in Eukaryota, Fungi, Basidiomycota, Pucciniomycetes, Pucciniales, Pucciniaceae. The record is from Rfam.